RNAcentral lists this ribosomal RNA (253 nucleotides) under uncultured bacterium. RNAcentral describes it as "partial 16S ribosomal RNA". It matches the Rfam family "Bacterial small subunit ribosomal RNA", at positions 524 to 776 of the family's 1533-position model. The record is from RNAcentral.
UACGUAGGGGGCAAGCGUUAUCCGGAAUUACUGUGUGUAAAGGGUGAGUAGGCGGCAUGGUAAGCCAGAUGUGAAAGCCUUGGGCUUAACCCGAGGAUUGCAUUUGGAACUAUCAAGCUAGAGUACAGGAGAGGAAAGCGGAAUUCCUAGUGUAGCGGUGAAAUGCGUAGAUAUUAGGAAGAACACCAGUGGCGAAGGCGGCUUUCUGGACUGAAACUGACGCUGAGGCACGAAAGCGUGGGGAGCGAACAGG